This 494-nucleotide ribosomal RNA is filed under the name uncultured bacterium. RNAcentral's name for it is "partial 16S ribosomal RNA". It matches the Rfam family "Bacterial small subunit ribosomal RNA", at positions 30 to 507 of the family's 1533-position model. The record is from RNAcentral.
AUUGAACGCUGGCGGCAUGCUUUACACAUGCAAGUCGAACGGCAGCGGGGAGGAGCUUGCUUCUCUGCCGGCGAGUGGCGAACGGGUGAGUAAUACAUCGGAACGUGUCGAGAAGAGGGGGAUAACCACCCGAAAGGGUGGCUAAUACCGCAUAAAUUCUGAGGAAGAAAGCUGGAGACCUAGGAAUAGGCCUAGCGCUUUUUGAGCGGCCGAUGUCGGAUUAGCUAGUUGGUGAGGUAAAGGCUCACCAAGGCGAAGAUCUGUAGCGGGUCUGAGAGGAUGAUCCGCCACACUGGGACUGAGACACGGCCCAGACUCCUACGGGAGGCAGCAGUGGGGAAUUUUGGACAAUGGGGGCAACCCUGAUCCAGCCAUGCCGCGUGUAUGAAGAAGGCCUUAGGGCUGUAAAGUACUUUUGUUAGGGAAGAAAAGUCAGCUGUGAAUAAUGGCUGAUACUGACGGUACCUAAAGAAUAAGCACCGGCUAACUACGUG